UCCAGAGGGGGCAAGCGUUGUUCGGAAUUACUGGGCGUAAAGGGCGCGUAGGCGGCCUUCUAAGUCGAACGUGAAAUCCCCGGGCUCAACCCGGGAACUGCGUCCGAUACUGAAAGGCUUGAAUCCGGGAGAGGGAUGCGGAAUUCCAGGUGUAGCGGUGAAAUGCGUAGAUAUCUGGAGGAACACCGGUGGCGAAGGCGGCAUCCUGGACCGGCAUUGACGCUGAGGCGCGAAAGCCAGGGGAGCAAACGGG
This 253-nucleotide ribosomal RNA is filed under the name uncultured bacterium. RNAcentral's name for it is "partial 16S ribosomal RNA". It matches the Rfam family "Bacterial small subunit ribosomal RNA", at positions 524 to 776 of the family's 1533-position model. The record is from RNAcentral.